GGCGGUUCUCAGGCGAUGCACCCUGGAAUCGGGCUCCCUCCUCUCUGGUUCCAGGUGCAUCACCUGAGAACCGCA
Myotis davidii is the source of this 75-nucleotide non-coding RNA. The record is from Rfam. NCBI's taxonomy places the organism in Eukaryota, Metazoa, Chordata, Mammalia, Chiroptera, Vespertilionidae.